AGAGUUUGAUCCUGGCUCAGGACGAACGCUGGCGGCGUGCCUAACACAUGCAAGUCGAACGGGGAUUUUGUUUCGGCAGAAUCCUAGUGGCGAACGGGUGAGUAACGCGUAGGCAACCUGCCCUCCGGCCGGGGACAACACUCCGAAAGGGGUGCUAAUACCGGAUACGAAGUCUGUGCCGCAUGGUACGGAUUUGAAAGAUGGCCUCUGUUUACAAGCUAUCGCCGGGGGAUGGGCCUGCGUCCGAUUAGCUGGUUGGUGGGGUAACGGCCUACCAAGGCGACGAUCGGUAGCCGGUCUGAGAGGAUGAACGGCCACAUUGGGACUGAGACACGGCCCAGACUCCUACGGGAGGCAGCAGUGGGGAAUCUUCCGCAAUGGGCGCAAGCCUGACGGAGCAACGCCGCGUGAGUGAGGAAGUUCUUCGGAACGUAAAGCUCUGUUGUUCCUGACGAACCUCCCCUCUAUCAACAACGGAGGGGACUGACGGUAGGGAACGAGGAAGCCACGGCUAACUACGUGCCAGCAGCCGCGGUAAUACGUAGGUGGCAAGCGUUGUCCGGAAUUAUUGGGCGUAAAGCGCAUGUAGGCGGUAAUUUAAGUCUGUCGUGAAACUGCGGGGCUCAGCCCCGUAUGGCGAUGGAAACUGGGUUACUUGAGUGCAGGAGAGGAAAGGGGAACUCCCAGUGUAGCGGUGAAAUGCGUAGAUAUUGGGAAGAACACCGGUGGCGAAGGCGCCUUUCUGGACUGUGUCUGACGCUGAGAUGCGAAAGCCAGGGUAGCGAACGGGAUUAGAUACCCCGGUAGUCCUGGCCGUAAACGAUGGGUACUAGGUGUGGGAGGUAUCGACCCCUUCCGUGCCGGAGUUAACGCAAUAAGUACCCCGCCUGGGGAGUACGGCCGCAAGGCUUAAACUCAAAGGAAUUGACGGGGGCCCGCACAAGCGGUGGAGUAUGUGGUUUAAUUCGACGCAACGCGAAGAACCUUACCAGGGCUUGACAUCGACUGAAAGAUGCAGAGAUGUAUCCCUCUCUUCGGAGACAGGAAGACAGGUGGUGCAUGGUUGUCGUCAGCUCGUGCCGUGAGGUGUCGGCUUAAGUGCCAUAACGAGCGCAACCCCUGUCUUCAGUUGCCAUCAGGUGAAGCUGGGCACUCUGUAGAGACUGCCACCGUAAGGUGUGAGGAAGGUGGGGAUGACGUCAAAUCAGCACGGCCCUUACGUCCGGGGCUACACACGUGUUACAAUGGGUGGUACAGAGAGCAGGCCGUCCGCAAGUGCGGCCGAAUCAUGAAAUCCAUCCUCAGUUCGGAUUGGGGUCUGCAACCCGACCCCAUGAAGCUGGAUUCGCUAGUAAUCGCGCAUCAGCCAUGGCGCGGUGAAUACGUUCCCGGGCCUUGCACUCACCGCCCGUCA
This 1414-nucleotide ribosomal RNA is filed under the name uncultured bacterium. RNAcentral's name for it is "bacterial SSU rRNA". It matches the Rfam family "Bacterial small subunit ribosomal RNA". The record is from RNAcentral.